UUUCCUGUAUUGAAUGAAUUGUGGAACUGAUUGUUGAAAGGGCGCAGAAAGACUCGCCCAAUUCAAUAAGUUUGAAUUUCUUAGUGUGUAGAUUUCCUCAUUAUAACGGAUGAGAGCUGUUAUUGUGCAUAAGGAUUUGUUUGGAGUCGGCUGAGACCAGCUGUAUAACCAUUGCCCGUCCUCCCAAGUACGCAACGGGUUGAUGUGUUUCUGUUUCACAAUUACCCAUCCACGAAGGUGAUCAUUAACGAAGUGUGUUUGCGCUGAGAUUUGAUUCUAGUUCUUAUUAUUUAGUCCCUGUGUUAGAUAAAAUAAAGAGGAUGCUUUUCCAGAUUGGUU
RNAcentral lists this long non-coding RNA (339 nucleotides) under Physcomitrium patens. RNAcentral describes it as "long non-coding RNA (PPAT_LNC006691)". Lineage: Eukaryota; Viridiplantae; Streptophyta; Bryopsida; Funariales; Funariaceae. The record is from RNAcentral.